AGGCAGGGUUGAUGAUUGGGGUUAAGUCGUAACAAGGUAUCCCUACCGGAAGGUGGGGAUGGAUCACCUCCUUUCUAUGGAGUUUCGUUUCUAUGAAACAACAAGAAAAACCGAUUUUAGACUUAUGGAUUAAUUCAAUUGUUCUCUUUAGUUUUCAGGGAUUGUUUAUCUCUGUGCAAUUGUUCUUUAAAAACUGGAUAAUAGACAUCUUUAAAUAUAAAAAAUAAAUUAUCUUGCAAUAGGAUAUUCUUAAAUAAAUUAUUAAGAG
This 268-nucleotide unclassified non-coding RNA is filed under the name Spiroplasma endosymbiont of Dolichopus claviger. RNAcentral describes it as "partial contains 16S ribosomal RNA, 16S-23S ribosomal RNA intergenic spacer, and 23S ribosomal RNA". The stretch from base 1 to 74 matches the Rfam family "Bacterial small subunit ribosomal RNA", at positions 1460 to 1533 of the family's 1533-position model. The record is from RNAcentral. Lineage: Bacteria; Bacillati; Mycoplasmatota; Mollicutes; Entomoplasmatales; Spiroplasmataceae.